GACGAACGCUGGCGGCGUGCUUAACACAUGCAAGUCGAACGGAAAGGCCCUGCUCUUGUGGGGUGCUCGAGUGGCGAACGGGUGAGUAACACGUGAGUAACCUGCCCCUGACUUUGGGAUAACUUCAGGAAACUGGGGCUAAUACCGGAUAGGAGCUCCUGCUGCAUGGUGGGGGUUGGAAAGUGUCGGCGGUUGGGGAUGGACUCGCGGCUUAUCAGCUUGUUUGUGGGGUAGUGGCUUACCAAGGCUUUGACGGGUAGCCGGCCUGAGAGGGUGACCGGCGACAUUGGGACUGAGAUACGGCCCAGACUGCUACGGGAGGCAGUGGUCGAAAAUAUUACACAACAGGCGGAAGCCUGAUACAGCAGCGUCGCGUGCGGGAUGCCGGCCUUCGAGUUGUAAACCGCUUUCGAAGGUGACGAGGCGUGAGUGACGGUAAUGGGUAAAGAAGCACCGGCUAACUACGUG
RNAcentral lists this ribosomal RNA (468 nucleotides) under uncultured bacterium. Its description in RNAcentral is "partial 16S ribosomal RNA". It matches the Rfam family "Bacterial small subunit ribosomal RNA", at positions 28 to 507 of the family's 1533-position model. The record is from RNAcentral.